GGGGCUGACCGGUAUUGACGGGAGGCAUUGACGGUAAACCGGCAUGUAGUGGGUGUACAAAACCACUUUAAUCCAUUGUGCAAAUCAAUUUUAGCUGGCGACUAUCAAUACGCUAUGGCUGCUUAAUCUUAGAGAUUAACCACCAUUUGCCUUACGCUUGAGGUACCAUACACAGCGUAAAACGCAAUCAAACCCUGGUAACGCUUCGGCUAAGCAUCAUUCCCUUGGCCGAAAGUGUACAAAAGAAUGUAAGAGAAAGGUUGGAGGGUUACUUAUCCUGCCCAACUCCGACAAUCAAUAAGUAACUACACAUGUAGAAAGUUUAUCAUCAACUUAUCCGGACGUGGGUUCAAUUCCCACCAGCUCCACUU
RNAcentral lists this transfer-messenger RNA (371 nucleotides) under Chitinophagales. RNAcentral's name for it is "Bog-950 sp016787045 Standard tmRNA". It matches the Rfam family "transfer-messenger RNA". Rfam says of the family: Bacterial tmRNA, also known as 10Sa RNA or SsrA, is named for its dual tRNA and mRNA-like properties. Its role is to liberate the mRNA from a stalled ribosome. To accomplish this part of the tmRNA is used as a reading frame that ends in a translation stop signal. Lineage: Bacteria; Pseudomonadati; Bacteroidota; Chitinophagia. The record is from RNAcentral. RNAcentral also lists the same sequence under 1 other name.